CGGGGUUGUGGACAGCAAAAACCAUUGCGAGCCUUUAACCGAACGGCAUGGGACGGCCGAUCAAAGAGGGUGACAAUCCCGUAGGUAAAAAGGGCGAGCAGGGGGCUGUAUCCAGAGUACCACCGGACACGAGAAACCCGGUGGGAAACCGGGGGGACCACCCUCCAAGCCUAAAAACUCCCUGGUGACCGAUAGCGUAUAGUACU
RNAcentral lists this ribosomal RNA (206 nucleotides) under Chaetoceros curvisetus. Its description in RNAcentral is "partial Bacterial large subunit ribosomal RNA". It matches the Rfam family "Bacterial large subunit ribosomal RNA", at positions 293 to 502 of the family's 2925-position model. The record is from RNAcentral. Lineage: Eukaryota; Bacillariophyta; Thalassiosirophyceae; Chaetocerotales; Chaetocerotaceae.